RNAcentral lists this ribosomal RNA (535 nucleotides) under Agaricus arvensis. Its description in RNAcentral is "LSU rRNA". It matches the Rfam family "Eukaryotic large subunit ribosomal RNA", at positions 67 to 601 of the family's 3401-position model. Lineage: Eukaryota; Fungi; Basidiomycota; Agaricomycetes; Agaricales; Agaricaceae. The record is from RNAcentral.
AACAAGGAUUCCCCUAGUAACUGCGAGUGAAGCGGGAAAAGCUCAAAUUUAAAAUCUGGCGGUCUCUGGCCGUCCGAGUUGUAAUCUAGAGAAGUAAUGCCCGUGCUGGACCGUGUAUAAGUCUCCUGGGAUGGGGCCGUCAUAGAGGGUGAGAAUCCCGUCUUUGACACGGACUACCAGUGCAUUGUGGUAUGCUCUCAAAGAGUCGAGUUGUUUGGGAAUGCAGCUCAAAAUGGGUGGUAAAUUCCAUCUAAAGCUAAAUAUUGGCGAGAGACCGAUAGCGAACAAGUACCGUGAGGGAAAGAUGAAAAGAACUUUGGAAAGAGAGUUAAACAGUACGUGAAAUUGCUGAAAGGGAAACGCUUGAAGUCAGUCGCGUUGGCCGGGGAUCAGCCUUGCUUUUGCAUGGUGUAUUUUCUGGUUGACGGGUCAGCAUCAAUUUUGACCGCUGGAAAAAGNCCUGGGGAAUGUGGCAGCUUCGGCUGUGUUAUAGCCCCUAGUCGCAUACAGUGGUUGGGAUUGAGGAACUCAGCAC